CACACACAUAGGCUAUAUGGUAUUGUAUAGCCUAUAGACUGCUUCCAGGCCGCAAACCUGUAUAGCAUGUUACUGCAUUGAAUACUGUAAGCAACUGUAACACAAUGGCAAAGCUAAUCUGUAGUGCCAAACAAUAGAUCAGUGGUUGCCUGAGGCCAAGAUGUGGAAGAUGGGAUUGACUGCAAAACUACAGAAGGAAUAUUUGGGGAGGCACGGAAGCGCAUCCGUGGAAAUCCAUCCCUUCCGACUUCCUUACACCUAUACAAAAGCCUGCAUUUGAUGCCCAGGACUCCAGAUCAGUACAUUCUGUGACAACUAAGGCACAGUGGAACAAGAAGGGCCCAACCACAUAAAGCUCCAGGAGAGUAGGAAUUAGUCUUGCUCUCAAGGACAUUCCUGGCACCCAGCAGAAUACCUAGCCUAGUAGGCAACAAAUGAAUACUGGAUGAAUAAAUCUAUGAAUCCAUCAAGAAGCAAGCUUGAGAAUGAGGCCAAAACACAGAGGAAGGCAAAAGAGCAAUGAAGCUGAGCAAAUACACCAGACUACCCAACUCUGAAACCCAUCCAACCUCUGGACUUCAUUGUUGUGAGUCAAUACAUUUACCUAACAUUUAAACCACUCAGAGUCAAAAUUUCUGUUAC
RNAcentral lists this long non-coding RNA (642 nucleotides) under Homo sapiens (human). RNAcentral's name for it is "HSALNT0291934". The record is from RNAcentral. Lineage: Eukaryota; Metazoa; Chordata; Mammalia; Primates; Hominidae.